This 543-nucleotide ribosomal RNA is filed under the name Escherichia coli. Its description in RNAcentral is "partial 23S ribosomal RNA". It matches the Rfam family "Bacterial large subunit ribosomal RNA", at positions 319 to 867 of the family's 2925-position model. Lineage: Bacteria; Pseudomonadati; Pseudomonadota; Gammaproteobacteria; Enterobacterales; Enterobacteriaceae. The record is from RNAcentral.
AGUGUGUGUGUUAGUGGAAGCGUCUGGAAAGGCGUGCGAUACAGGGUGACAGCCCCGUACACAAAAAUGCACAUACUGUGAGCUCGAUGAGUAGGGCGGGACACGUGGUAUCCUGUCUGAAUAUGGGGGGACCAUCCUCCAAGGCUAAAUACUCCUGACUGACCGAUAGUGAACCAGUACCGUGAGGGAAAGGCGAAAAGAACCCCGGCGAGGGGAGUGAAAAAGAACCUGAAACCGUGUACGUACAAGCAGUGGGAGCACGCUUAGGCGUGUGACUGCGUACCUUUUGUAUAAUGGGUCAGCGACUUAUAUUCUGUAGCAAGGUUAACCGAAUAGGGGAGCCGAAGGGAAACCGAGUCUUAACUGGGCGUUAAGUUGCAGGGUAUAGACCCGAAACCCGGUGAUCUAGCCAUGGGCAGGUUGAAGGUUGGGUAACACUAACUGGAGGACCGAACCGACUAAUGUUGAAAAAUUAGCGGAUGACUUGUGGCUGGGGGUGAAAGGCCAAUCAAACCGGGAGAUAGCUGGUUCUCCCCGAAAGCU